UUAAAAUGGGAAAGAGUCCUCUCUCCUAGAAAAUAGAAAGAUGAAUGAUGGAAGAAGAAGGAAGAGGACAAGGCAUGUCUCUGCUGAAGAUCAAUCGAGAGUCCGGCUGUUUAGGAUCUCAAUCUGCGUAAUCUCAUCGUUGUGAUGAAGAAUGAUAUAUGUGCGGGAGAUGGAUGAAUGAGGAUUGCCAUUUUUUUUAAAAA
This is a non-coding RNA of Camelina sativa (false flax), 203 nucleotides long. The record is from RefSeq and is a predicted model, not a curated record. Lineage: Eukaryota; Viridiplantae; Streptophyta; Magnoliopsida; Brassicales; Brassicaceae.